RNAcentral lists this ribosomal RNA (539 nucleotides) under fungal sp. XKJKDF29. Its description in RNAcentral is "eukaryotic LSU rRNA". The stretch from base 168 to 320 matches the Rfam family "5.8S ribosomal RNA". The record is from RNAcentral. Lineage: Eukaryota; Fungi.
CGUAGGCUCUGGGUCACCUCCCACCCGUGUUUAUUUUACCUUGUUGCUUCGGCGGGCCCGCCUUAACUGGCCGCCGGGGGGCUUACGCCCCCGGGCCCGCGCCCGCCGAAGACACCCUCGAACUCUGUCUGAAGAUUGAAGUCUGAGUGAAAAUAUAAAUUAUUUAAAACUUUCAACAACGGAUCUCUUGGUUCCGGCAUCGAUGAAGAACGCAGCGAAAUGCGAUACGUAAUGUGAAUUGCAAAUUCAGUGAAUCAUCGAGUCUUUGAACGCACAUUGCGCCCCCUGGUAUUCCGGGGGGCAUGCCUGUCCGAGCGUCAUUGCUGCCCUCAAGCCCGGCUUGUGUGUUGGGCCCCGUCCCCCGAUCUCCGGGGGACGGGCCCGAAAGGCAGCGGCGGCACCGCGUCCGGUCCUCGAGCGUAUGGGGCUUUGUCACCCGCUCUGUAGGCCCGGCCGGCGCUUGCCGAUCAACCCAAAUUUUUAUCCAGGUUGACCUCGGAUCAGGUAGGGAUACCCGCUGAACUUAAGCAUAUCAAUAA